AAUAUUGGACAAUGGGCGCAAGCCUGAUCCAGCAACGCCGCGUGGAGGACGAAGGUCUUCGGAUCGUAAACUCCUGUCAGGCGGGACGAAGGCUUCCGUGCGAACAGUUCGGAAGCUUGACGGUACUGCCAGAGGAAGCCCCGGCUAACUCCGUUCCAGCAGCCGCGGUAAUACGGAGGGGGCUAGCGUUAUUCGGAAUUAUUGGGCGUAAAGGGCGCGUAGGCGGCCCGGUAAGUCAAAGGUGAAAUCCCUCGGCUCAACUGAGGAACUGCCUUUGAAACUGUCGGGCUUGAGGCCGGGAGGGGGUAGCGGAAUUCCCAGUGUAGCGGUGAAAUUCGUAGAUAUUCGGAAGAACACCAGUGGCGAAGGCGACUCACUGGACACGUAUUGACGCUGAGGUGCGAAAGCGUGGGGAGCAAAC
Molecule: ribosomal RNA, 421 nt
Filed under: uncultured bacterium
Lineage: Bacteria
Description: bacterial SSU rRNA
Rfam family: Bacterial small subunit ribosomal RNA
Source: RNAcentral